GUACUCACUUCUACAGCACAUAUACUAAAAAUUGGAAUGAUGAUAAAGAAAAGAUCAACAUGACCCCUGUUCAAGAAUGACAUGCAGAUUUGUGAAGCAUUCCAUAUUUUU
Molecule: small nuclear RNA, 111 nt
Organism: Chlorocebus sabaeus (green monkey)
Lineage: Eukaryota; Metazoa; Chordata; Mammalia; Primates; Cercopithecidae
Source: Ensembl